GAUGAAGAACGUAGCGAAAUGCGAUAAGUAAUGUGAAUUGCAGAAUUCAGUGAAUCAUCGAAUCUUUGAACGCACAUUGCGCCCGCGAGUAUUCUCGCGGGCAUGCCUGUCCGAGCGUCAUUUCAACCCUCAGGGCCCGCCUGCUUCGGCAGGCGCGGCGCUGGUGUUGGGGAUCGGCCUAACCGCCGUCCCCCAAAUACAGUGGCGGUCUCGCUGCAGCCUCCCCUGCGUAGUAGCAACACUCGCAUGCGGAGCGCGGCGCGGCCACGCCGUAAAACCCCCGACUUUCUGAACGUUGACCUCGGAUCAGGUAGGAAUACUCGCUGAACUUAAGCAUAUCAAUAAGCGGAGGA
RNAcentral lists this unclassified non-coding RNA (353 nucleotides) under soil metagenome. Its description in RNAcentral is "partial contains 5.8S ribosomal RNA, internal transcribed spacer 2, and large subunit ribosomal RNA". The stretch from base 1 to 120 matches the Rfam family "5.8S ribosomal RNA", at positions 35 to 154 of the family's 154-position model. The record is from RNAcentral.